GAUGAACGCUGGCUACAGGCUUAACACAUGCAAGUCGAGGGGAAACGACGGGGAAGCUUGCUUCCCCGGGCGUCGACCGGCGCACGGGUGAGUAACGCGUAUCCAACCUGCCUCUGACUGAGGGAUAACCCGUCGAAAGUCGGCCUAAUACCUCAUGGCAUCGUCUGCGGGCAUCCAACGACGAUUAAAGAUUUCAUCGGUCAGAGAUGGGGAUGCGUCUGAUUAGCUUGUUGGCGGGGUAACGGCCCACCAAGGCGACGAUCAGUAGGGGUUCUGAGAGGAAGGUCCCCCACAUUGGAACUGAGACACGGUCCAAACUCCUACGGGAGGCAGCAGUGAGGAAGAUUGGUCAAUGGGCGAGAGCCUGAACCAGCCAAGUAGCGUGCAGGAUGACGGCCCUAUGGGUUGUAAACUGCUUUUAUGCGGGGAUAAAGUGAGGGACGUGUCCUUCAUUGCAGGUACCGCAUGAAUAAGGACCGGCUAAUUCCGU
RNAcentral lists this ribosomal RNA (490 nucleotides) under uncultured bacterium. RNAcentral's name for it is "partial 16S ribosomal RNA". It matches the Rfam family "Bacterial small subunit ribosomal RNA", at positions 28 to 506 of the family's 1533-position model. The record is from RNAcentral.